GUCUGAGAUCUAUCUCCAGAAAAA
This 24-nucleotide small nuclear RNA is filed under the name Arabidopsis thaliana (thale cress). RNAcentral's name for it is "snRNA_05684". Lineage: Eukaryota; Viridiplantae; Streptophyta; Magnoliopsida; Brassicales; Brassicaceae. The record is from RNAcentral.